UUACCUACCCUUGACAUGGUCGGAAUCCUGAAGAGAUUCGGGAGUGCUCGAAAGAGAACCGGCGCACAGGUGCUGCAUGGCUGUCGUCAGCUCGUGUCGUGAGAUGUUGGGUUAAGUCCCGCAACGAGCGCAACCCUUGUCCUUAGUUGCUACGCAAGAGCACUCUAAGGAGACUGCCGGUGACAAACCGGAGGAAGGUGGGGAUGACGUCAAGUCCUCAUGGCCCUUAUGGGUAGGGCUUCACACGUCAUACAAUGGUCGGAACAGAGGGUUGCCAACCCGCGAGGGGGAGCUAAUCCCAGAAAACCGAUCGUAGUCCGGAUUGCACUCUGCAACUCGAGUGCAUGAAGCUGGAAUCGCUAGUAAUCGCGGAUCAGCA
RNAcentral lists this ribosomal RNA (379 nucleotides) under Burkholderia sp. FER18. Its description in RNAcentral is "bacterial SSU rRNA". It matches the Rfam family "Bacterial small subunit ribosomal RNA", at positions 971 to 1354 of the family's 1533-position model. Lineage: Bacteria; Pseudomonadati; Pseudomonadota; Betaproteobacteria; Burkholderiales; Burkholderiaceae. The record is from RNAcentral.